GGAGGAUGGGGUCCGGAGAGCCUUGACAGACUGCUGCCUUUGCUACUGAGGGCAUCGGACCAGGAGCAGUUGGAAGGUGUGUGUCUGCCCCCCUCCCUGGGUGGGCUGCCCCCCCUGGCGGGUCGCCGUGGUCCCGGGAAACAAAGCUCCAUGGCAACAUACCACCAGAGCAGUGCUGAGCCGCCAGAUCUCGACCAAUCACAGCCCAGCAUUGUACGCGGAAGCAUUCCUGUGGAACUCAGAGAUUUUCCAUCAGGCGGUGGCUGGGGCAGCCUGAUCAUGGGUCCUGAUGGCGACAUCAUACAGCUGUCUCUCUGGGACCCCUCAG
This is a long non-coding RNA of Engraulis encrasicolus (European anchovy), 328 nucleotides long. RefSeq lists it as uncharacterized. The transcript is spliced from 3 exons. The record is from RefSeq and is a predicted model, not a curated record. NCBI's taxonomy places the organism in Eukaryota, Metazoa, Chordata, Actinopteri, Clupeiformes, Engraulidae.